Long non-coding RNA from Sinocyclocheilus rhinocerous, 261 nucleotides. RefSeq lists it as uncharacterized. The transcript is spliced from 4 exons. Lineage: Eukaryota; Metazoa; Chordata; Actinopteri; Cypriniformes; Cyprinidae. The record is from RefSeq and is a predicted model, not a curated record.
UUAAGUGUUUAUUGAAAUGCAACAUUUACUUCACAAGAUGUUUUCAAACAUAAAACAAAAUCAGUGGACUUUAUAGUCAAAAAUAUAACAUUUAAACAAUCUUAUCAGACACUUCACCAAAUAAGUCAAGACCACAAACAAGGAAAUGUUUAAAAAUGAGUGCAAAAAAACCCCGUACCAAUGCACUGACCCAACACUUGGCAGACAUCAUCUCAUCUUCAAAUGCAAUUAAAACAUCCAUUGUGGUUAAAGUACAAUGUU